This 72-nucleotide transfer RNA is filed under the name Phrynosoma platyrhinos (Desert horned lizard). Its description in RNAcentral is "tRNA-OTHER". Lineage: Eukaryota; Metazoa; Chordata; Lepidosauria; Squamata; Phrynosomatidae. The record is from RNAcentral.
CAUAGCAUGGCAUAGUGGUUUGAGUGUUGGACUAUGGCUCUGGAGACCAGGGUUUGAUUCCCAUGGCCAUGA